RNAcentral lists this ribosomal RNA (320 nucleotides) under Calomera littoralis. Its description in RNAcentral is "partial large subunit ribosomal RNA". Lineage: Eukaryota; Metazoa; Arthropoda; Insecta; Coleoptera; Carabidae. The record is from RNAcentral.
AGGGUUGGACGAGAUAAAGACUGUCUUUAUUUAAAUUAAAGUAGAAUUUAACUUUUAAGUCAAAAGGCUUAAAUUUUUAUAAAAGACGAGAAGACCCUAUAGAUCUUUAUUUAAUUAAUAUUUUAAUAAUUUAGGAUUAAUUUAAUUUAAAGUUUUAAUUAAAUUUUAUUGGGGUAAUAUAAAGAUUAAAAAAAUUCUUUUUAUUUAUUACAUUAAUUUAUGAAUAAAUGAUCCAAUAUUAUUGAUUAUAAGAUUAAGUUACCUUAGGGAUAACAGCGUAAUUUUUUUGGAGAGCUCAUAUCGAUAAAAAAGUUUGCGAC